This is a long non-coding RNA of Gambusia affinis (western mosquitofish), 2903 nucleotides long. RefSeq lists it as uncharacterized. The transcript is spliced from 2 exons. NCBI's taxonomy places the organism in Eukaryota, Metazoa, Chordata, Actinopteri, Cyprinodontiformes, Poeciliidae. The record is from RefSeq and is a predicted model, not a curated record.
GUAGAUGGAAACUCUCAGUCUGACAUCUUACUUUUGUUUUAGCAUUUUGGAUCUGAAACAGUUUUUAGCUUCUCAGCUGAUCCUUCAACCGUUCUCAUCUUCACUCUGGUAGAUUUCACCUCAGAGAGGAGCAACAGAACCAGAACCAGCACAGGACCAGAACCAAACAGAACCAGAACCAAAACAAACACAGAACCAAACAGAACCAGCACAGAACUUAGCAUAGCGAUAGCUGAACUGUUAGCAUCAGUUCCAGCUGCUCAAAACGAUGCACUGCAAAAACUCUAAAUCAGACCAAGUAUUUUAGUUUAGUUUCUGGUGUAAAUAUCUUAUUAAACUUGAAAUCAGACAAAACCAAUUUAAAUGCAACGUUUCAGCAGGAUGUCAGUCAAUAAUGAAUCUUGAUGUAAAUAUUAGCUCCCACAUUGUAAGUGAAAUAAUCUGCCAAUGGAAUUAGUAUUUAUUUAACAAUAUUAAGGAAUUAUUGAUAAGUGUAUUUGCACUAGAAAUCAGAUGAAAAUACUUGGUAAUAUUUUUUGUUUGUUUGUUUGUUUGUUUGUUUUGCUGUUGAUCCGUCUCCAGCAGCUCCAGGGGAGAACUGGACCGGUGAUGUGAUGCUAACAGUUCAGUUUUUACAGUGUGUCGGUGUCGGAACGUUCUUCCUCCAGCGGAUGAAUUUGAACGCGACGGGAUUGUGGGAAACCCAACAUGUCUGACAUGUUUUAUUGUGUUCGGUGGUUUAUGAAGUCAUAAAGUGUUUAAAUGUCGGCGGUCUGCCAGGAAGUGACCGGCGCGUCCGUCACAGGUGACCUUUAAACCCGGAGCGGCUCGUCUUCGUCUCCCUCGCGCCUCGUUAGCGGCGCUCCGGAUGGGCGGCCAUUAAGGAGUCCGAGGCCAGAGAUGGAGCAGCGGGAAGGCAAUAACCGGCCUUGUUAGGAGAAUUUUAUUACCGGGCUCAGAGAGCAGCAGCAGCCGGUUUCCCACCAGGAAGAGUUUCUGCAGUAAUGGAGCUGCAAUAACCUUUGCUUUUUUAAUUCCUCUCAUGUUUAAUGGAACCAGUUAAAAAGACGGUCAGGGACGUCGGAGUGGAUUUUUUCCUGCAGCCUUAAUCUUCCUGGUGUUUCCUGUGGACCUCGACCCAAACAUGAAUCAUCCUCCUGCUGCUUUGUGUGAAGCGAUACAGCAGCAGAUUGAGCUAUUUGUUAUCACAGCAGCUCGUCCAACGCCGGCCGGCCGCAAGCGAUGAAUUCCUCUCCCAUCGCCCUGGGAUUGGAUUUUUCUCUCCUUCCUGCGUUUUCUGAUGGAUUCAGAAUAAAUUUCUUGUUCACAGUCAUGGAGGUCAGAGAGGUGAGGAGGAGGAGGCAGAUCUCUGCAGAGGUGAAGCCAUGAGAGGAACGUCCCGGCUCAGCAGGGAGCAGAAACAUCUGAGGAUAAUGUCAGGAAUAUUUCUGUCCGAUUUAAAAUUCAACAUGAUGAUUAAAUGGAUGAUAAAUUGAAGCUUUAAACGCCUGAAACGAACAGCUGCAUUCGAACCGGACCAAGCGGCUGGAUUUGGACUAAAACCGUCCAGAUCUACGGAAGCCCUGAAAGGCCAAGGGGAAAGAUAAGGAGAGAAAAUGUCAGAAAAGUUCAUUAGAGGCGGAUCUGGACGGAGCGGUGACUCUGACAGACACGGAGGCUGAGCAUUUGUCAUCCAUCUCACACGGCCUGUCUUCACCUCAUGAGGCCCGUCAGCUUCAUUACUCCUCUCUGUCUGCGCUCAUCGUCUCGUCGCCUGCAGCCUGCCGGCAACGCCGUGUCACAGGGAGCUGGAAAGGUCAGCGGCAGGAAAAACCGACACACACAAACACUCAGCAGACAGACGUCCUGCAGGGAACUCCCACCAGGAACCGCUCAGCCCCUCCCACAGCCGCAGGCCGCGCCGCCGCAGGUCAAUGGGGCUGACCCAGCACGGAGCCGGGAGCGGUUCUGGUUCUGUAUCCAGAUCCGGGUCAGAGAGGCGGGUCGAUCCCAGCACAGAAGUAAUGUGAGGCCGCCGUCCGUCACAGAUCUAAUGAAAUGUCUGCAGAGCUUCAGCUGAUUUUAAUAAUCAGCUGCUGCCAUAAACUUUAUUAAACAUCAUAAAAUCAGAGCCGGAAAAACAGGUUUUCUAUCUGCUGCUGCACAAGUUGGAUUUUAUUAGAAAUCAGUUUUUUUUAUCUCCUCUGAACAUUUCUAUGAAUAUUAAUGAUCCUCAGGAUUCUACACAACUGGAUUAAUUACAACACAAUAAUUCAGAGUCUGAAUUAAAUGAUUCCGCUUCUGUUAAAACUUCUGUCAGCCAAGUGGUCACGUGACUCCCCCAGCCAAUCAGAGACCUGCUAACAGCUGCGCGCCCACAGCAUAGAUGCGUUUUAAAUAGAUGUUGGAUUAGUUUGAAGUAAAGCUACACAGUGAAAACCAGCAGCAACAUUUUGGUUUAUUCAGCCAUUCAGAGAGGAAAAAAACCUAUAAAAUCAGAUUUUCACCAUGUUAUUGAUGCUUGAUAAAUGUCACAGUCCCAAACUAAAUAUUUAAUUCAAAACUUAAAUCUUUAUUAUACAAACUGCGUGCAGGAGUUCAGGGUCCAGAUGUACAGGUCCAACGGCUGAAGGUUUUAUUCGGAUCUCUGCAGAAGGAACGGAGAGCAAACAGACGGACAGCUGAGCUUGUGUCUUUUUUACAAAUUUAUUUAUUUUUAUGCCACACUCAUAAACAAUAAUUAUUUAUGGUUUUUGGACUCACAAAUGUCACUUAAGAGUAAAACAUUAGACUGUUUGUGUUUCAUGUCUGAAUGAUUCAUGUGAGCGUGAAUGCUGGAACAGAUUUUCAUUUCUACCUGCUCAGGAUUUAAAAUGAAUAAAUAAAAUCUGAUGGAACUGAAA